RNAcentral lists this ribosomal RNA (253 nucleotides) under uncultured bacterium. RNAcentral's name for it is "partial 16S ribosomal RNA". It matches the Rfam family "Bacterial small subunit ribosomal RNA", at positions 524 to 776 of the family's 1533-position model. The record is from RNAcentral.
UACGAAGGGGGCUAGCGUUGCUCGGAAUCACUGGGCGUAAAGCGCACGUAGGCGGCUUUCUAAGUCAGGGGUGAAAUCCCGGGGCUCAACCUCGGAACUGCCUUUGAUACUGCAAAUCUCGAGUCCGGAAGAGGUGAGUGGAAUUCCUAGUGUAGAGGUGAAAUUCGUAGAUAUUAGGAAGAACACCAGUGGCGAAGGCGACUCACUGGUCCGGUACUGACGCUGAGGUGCGAAAGCGUGGGGAGCAAACAGG